This 253-nucleotide ribosomal RNA is filed under the name uncultured bacterium. Its description in RNAcentral is "partial 16S ribosomal RNA". It matches the Rfam family "Bacterial small subunit ribosomal RNA", at positions 524 to 776 of the family's 1533-position model. RNAcentral also lists the same sequence under 1 other name. The record is from RNAcentral.
UACGGAGGGUGCAAGCGUUAUCCGGAUUCACUGGGUUUAAAGGGUGCGUAGGCGGGUAAGUAAGUCCGUGGUGAAAUCUCUGAGCUUAACUCAGAAACUGCCGUGGAUACUAUUUGCCUUGAAUAUUGUGGAGGUGAGCGGAAUAUGUCAUGUAGCGGUGAAAUGCUUAGAUAUGACAUAGAACACCAAUUGCGAAGGCAGCUCACUACACAAUCAUUGACGCUGAGGCACGAAAGCGUGGGGAUCAAACAGG